RNAcentral lists this long non-coding RNA (1527 nucleotides) under Helianthus annuus (common sunflower). Lineage: Eukaryota; Viridiplantae; Streptophyta; Magnoliopsida; Asterales; Asteraceae. The record is from RNAcentral.
CUUCAUUCCCCAACCCUAACCGUAUCCUCCCCCAAAUCUAAUGCAUCUACUUCUCAUUCUCUCUAUGAGUAUUUCCAGAUCUUUGAACCACCACCACCACAUCACCGACAUAGAAGGCUCCUUCAUCCUUGUUCAACAGCCCUUAAUCCCCGUUCACAACCCCUACAUUCUAGUUAAGAGCACCUGUGGAUGUUAGGUUAGAAGGCAUUUGAAAUCACCAUUAUCAGAAGUGAUGUCUUUUAACACAUUCAAUCGACCUCUAUUCUAUCCAUGGUUUUCAUCAUCGAAUUUGCUUGGAUGGUUGUUGGAGUAUUAGCAUCUGGCAAGAGAGAGGGAUUAAGUGGUGAGGCAGUUGGGCGUCAAGAAGAGUUACAAGACGGUCUAUUGUAAUUACACCAUGAUCAAUCGCCAAGUUGAAGAGGUUGAUGGGAGUAUGUUUUGGGGAUGGGAGUCUUCGCUAACAAGCUAAUCAAAUGGGAUGCAAGCAACUUGAUGCUUGUGGUUCAUUAGUCAACUGGAGCAACCACUUGCAGCUCAAGAAUCCGAUAUCCACAGAGCUAUGGCGGUUCAUAAUAGCACAUGAUGCCCAUCGCCGACACAUCAAAGCCCAUCUCCUAAUGUGGAUGACGGAAGUGGUAACGAUGAUGAGAGCGUACUAGUAACUAUGGCUAUAGUCCAAGUUGACUAUUUGGCUUGCAAUGAAAAUGGCGGAAAUAAGUUAAGUAACCGUAGGGGCAAACUAGCACGUGCAGCUGCUAAGGCUGCUCGCGUACAUUCUGAUGAGGACAACGCUUUGCCUGAAAAAGAAACUGGGUCAGGGCCAGAUCCAGAUUCACCUGAUGAUCUUUUGGAUGAAGAUUAUGAUCCGUCUCCAUCUACAUCCCAUCUAACCCACAGGAAAGAUCGCAGGAGAUCAGUUUCAAGAACCAAAGAUACAGUUGUGGUCCCUGAAAAGCGUUUUAAAUUCAAAGUUAACCAAAAUGAGACUGCUAGCUACCCAGAAACAAUAAAUGGGAUAGUACAGACCAUGGAAGUUGAAGUUGUUCCUACAAAAGUAACUUAGUUUGACUUGAUUCCCUUCACAUAUCCUUUAUCUGUGGCGACGGGCGUACAACAUUUAUCAUUUUCAGAAAAAGAUAAGUCGCAUUUUGUCACAAUUUAUGCUUUUGUCAUUCUUGUAGCCAGCUAUGAUGAAGCCAACCAUCUGCUGUAAACAGUGUGUGCAUUUGGAAAUCGUUACAACUCAGAUGAAAAUAACAAUACACAUUGCCAGAGUUUAUCACUCAAGGGAUUCAUUUUGAUGGCUACCUGUCAAACUUGGAGCCGAGGCAUUGAUGGUUCAUGAAACUCCUACUAUCAAAGAAGACCAAGAUUGUUGAUUUUGGCAUGGUUAGACACUACUAUGAAGGUGUGACUUAAUUCAACAGUCAAUACUCGUGUAGUCAAUAUCAAGUAAUUGUUAGUAACAUUGCUAAUAAGGCGCUCGCAUGAGGAUCAUUUUUACUCGCAUGAAGAUUUGAAAGUGGU